RNAcentral lists this ribosomal RNA (253 nucleotides) under uncultured bacterium. Its description in RNAcentral is "partial 16S ribosomal RNA". It matches the Rfam family "Bacterial small subunit ribosomal RNA", at positions 524 to 776 of the family's 1533-position model. The record is from RNAcentral.
UACGUAGGGACCAAGCGUUGUUCGGAUUUACUGGGCGUAAAGGGCGCGUAGGCGGCAAUUCAAGUCAGCUGUGAAAUCUCCGAGCUUAACUCGGAACGGUCAGCUCAUACUGCUUUGCUAGAGUGCAGAAGGGGCAAUCGUAAUUCUUGGUGUAGCGGUGAAAUGCGUAGAUAUCAAGAGGAACACCUGAGGUGAAGGCGGGUUGCUGGGCUGACGCUGACGCUGAGGCGCGAAAGCUAGGGUAGCAACCGGG